Molecule: non-coding RNA, 639 nt
Organism: Lutra lutra (Eurasian river otter)
Lineage: Eukaryota; Metazoa; Chordata; Mammalia; Carnivora; Mustelidae
Source: the annotation of a RefSeq genome assembly
CACAAAGAGCUCACGAUGGAGUUUGUGCUUGCCUGGGUAUUCCUUGUUGUUCUCUUAAAAGGUGUCCAGUGUGAGGUGCAGUUGGUGGAGUGUGGGGGAGACCUGGUGAAGCCUGGGGGGUCCCUGAGACUCUCCUGUGCAGCCUCUGGAUUCACCUUCAGUAGCUAUGGAAUGAGCUGGGUCCGCCAGGCUCCAGGGAAGGGGCUGCAGUGGGUCACAUUGAUUAAUACUGGUGGAAGUAGCACAUACUAUGCAGACUCUGCGAAGGGCCGAUUCACCAUCUCCAGGGACAACGGCAAGAACACGCUGUAUCUGCAGAUGAACAGCCUGAGAGCUAAGGACACAACUGUGUGUUACUGUGCAACGGACACAGUGAGGGGAUAUCAGUGUGCUGGAGCUCUCGAGACAGCCAUUGCACUUUGGAACUGCCAUGCGCUCUGCACUGAACUGAACAGUAGCUUGUGUUUUCUGACUUCCGUCCUCACAUUCCUCGCCUGCAAGCCCCCCAUAUUGGGAAUUCUGGAGUCAAAACGCAGCCUUCUGCCUAUCCACCAGAAAGAAGAAUUGCGCUAUGGGACUGCCCAGGAACCCCACAUGAGUAUCCACCUGACGGCCCUCAAUGGCACCCCAAUAGCAUAG